RNAcentral lists this ribosomal RNA (567 nucleotides) under uncultured bacterium. RNAcentral describes it as "bacterial SSU rRNA". It matches the Rfam family "Bacterial small subunit ribosomal RNA", at positions 813 to 1398 of the family's 1533-position model. The record is from RNAcentral.
AUGCCAGACGUCGGCAAGCAUGCUUGUCGGUGUCACACCUAACGGAUUAAGCAUUCCGCCUGGGGAGUACGGUCGCAAGAUUAAAACUCAAAGGAAUUGACGGGGGCCCGCACAAGCGGUGGAGUAUGUGGUUUAAUUCGAAGCAACGCGCAGAACCUUACCAACCCUUGACAUCCCUGGACCGGUCCGGAGACGGAUCUUUCACUUCGGUGACCAGGAGACAGGUGCUGCAUGGCUGUCGUCAGCUCGUGUCGUGUGAUGAUGAUGUUCGAUUAAGUCCGGCAACGAGCGCAACCCACGUCCCCAGUUGCCAGCAUUCAGUUGGGCACUCUGUGGAAACUGCCGGUGAUAAGCCGGAGGAAGGUGUGGAUGACGUCAAGUCCUCAUGGCCCUUACGGGUUGGGCUACACACGUGCUACAAUGGUGGUGACAGUGGGUUAAUCCCCAAAAGCCAUCUCAGUUCGGAUUGUCCUCUGCAAAUCGAGGGCAUGAAGUUGGAAUCGCUAGUAAUCGCGGAACAGCAUGCCGCGGUGAAUACGUUCCCGGGCCUUGUACACACCGCCCGUC